This 917-nucleotide ribosomal RNA is filed under the name uncultured bacterium. RNAcentral describes it as "bacterial SSU rRNA". It matches the Rfam family "Bacterial small subunit ribosomal RNA", at positions 338 to 1262 of the family's 1533-position model. The record is from RNAcentral.
CCUACGGGGGGCAGCAGUGAGGAAUAUUGGUCAAUGGGCGCAAGCCUGAACCAGCCAUCCCGCGUGCAGGAUGACGGCCCUAUGGGUUGUAAACUGCUUUUGUACACCAAGAAAAAGCGCUACGUGUAGCGUCCUGACGGUAGUGUAUGAAUAAGCAUCGGCUAACUCCGUGCCAGCAGCCGCGGUAAUACGGAGGAUGCAAGCGUUAUCCGGAUUCAUUGGGUUUAAAGGGUGCGUAGGCGGCUUUUUAAGUCAGUGGUGAAAUCCUGCCGCUUAACGGUAGAAUUGCCAUUGAUACUGAAGAGCUUGAGUCCAGUUGAGGUAAGCGGAAUGUGUAGUGUAGCGGUGAAAUGCUUAGAUAUUACACAGAACACCAAUUGCGAAGGCAGCUUACUAAACUGGCACUGACGCUGAUGCACGAAAGCGUGGGGAGCGAACAGGAUUAGAUACCCUGGUAGUCCACGCCGUAAACGAUGCUCACUCGCUGUUUGCGAUACACAGCAAGCGGCCAAGCGAAAGCAUUAAGUGAGCCACCUGGGGAGUACGAUCGCAAGGUUGAAACUCAAAGGAAUUGACGGGGGCCCGCACAAGCGGAGGAACAUGUGGUUUAAUUCGAUGAUACGCGAGGAACCUUACCUGGGCUUAAAUGCAGAAUGACAGAUUGUGAAAGCAGUCCUUCUUCGGACAUUCUGCAAGGUGCUGCAUGGUUGUCGUCAGCUCGUGCCGUGAGGUGUCGGGUUAAGUCCCAUAACGAGCGCAACCCUUAUCGUUAGUUGCCAGCGGGUCAAGCCGGGGACUCUAGCGAGACUGCCACCGUAAGUGUGAGGAAGUGGGGAUGACGUCAAAUCAGCACGGCCCUUAUGUCCAGGGCUACCACGUGUUACAUGGCCGAUACAAAGGGCAGCUACCUGGUGACA